Molecule: non-coding RNA, 216 nt
Organism: Vicia faba (fava bean)
Lineage: Eukaryota; Viridiplantae; Streptophyta; Magnoliopsida; Fabales; Fabaceae
Source: the annotation of a GenBank genome assembly
AUGCCUCUGAUUCCCAGCUUCAAAGAAAUCUGUAGCUGCCUCGGCCUAUUGGCGCUCAGCCAAAUACAUUUCACCCCCACAUUCAUGGAUAAUCCCCAUUAUCCUUGGAUAGAGAAUUGCAGACUUAAUAAUAAUUGUUUUCUGGUAAAUUUGCUUGAAUUUUUCUUUGUACUGAUAUGUGUCGAUCGUGUAAUGAAGAUUGGCGUGGUAUGGUAG